This 1060-nucleotide long non-coding RNA is filed under the name Homo sapiens (human). Its description in RNAcentral is "HSALNT0371979". Lineage: Eukaryota; Metazoa; Chordata; Mammalia; Primates; Hominidae. The record is from RNAcentral.
GCUUAGAGAACAGGAAGUGGGAGCCACAUACCCCGAGCUGGCGGCUUGAGCCUGUGGUAUCUAGGCUCACCUCACUGCGGUUGGUGGAGGUGAUGGAGGUUGCAGCUUGGCCAGCAUGGUAGAAAGGUGGCAGGGUAGACUCUAGAUUCUAGAGGGCAACCUCUGUUUGCUCAUGCUGGAGCGUGGCAGGUGCACAAUGUUUCCUUGGGAAUCCUCAGCAGGGCACGUCUGGCUUUUACCACCCAGUUGCUUCGAGCCAGGAGAUGGAGGAGUCAUCUGUUGCACGCUGGAGGCUGGAGCCUGCAGAUGGCAUGGUUCUGUGGCUCACCUCGCUGCAGUUGGUGGCAGAGACAGAGACUGCAGCUUGACCAGAGUGGUGGAGUGAUAUGUAUCUCAAGAGCACUCCACAACAAAGAUUCUGCCUGCAAUCCUCCACUUCAAGUGAUUCCCUAAGGUCCACAAAGAACGCAAGAGGCAGCAAUGAAAGCUGUGCUAAGUGACAAUGUGGCCAAGACAUAAGCAGAGUAGAUGCUCAUAGAAGGCACCAAUUCAAGAGGAAGCCCGCUGCUCAUAGUGAUACUUCCCUGCCCACGUUUCUGUACACUUGGGCAGUGCAGCACCUCUUCUAUAGUGUCUCUUAUUUUUCACUUCUUGACACACGGUCGCAUUGUUGUUGUUGUUGUUUUGACAACAGGUUUAGCCUUGGGACUUGCUUCUAAAUGUAAGCAGCAGUGAUUUGUGAAGUGUGACAAACUGGGACUCAAUUCUCCAUGUUGUCUUGUUAGUUAUGACCUUGAAAGCUUUUUUCCACAUGGAUCUUCAAAUAGAUACAGUGAGUAAAGUCUUCUAGUAACUUGCAUGGCCAUGUAAAAGAAAUAACCUUUCACUGGAUUAAACCAGUGAUAAUAUGUGAAAGCUAUAAGAAGUAUCCUAGGUGAAAAGUGUAUAUUCACGUCAGACAUGAGAUAAAUGCUCAAUAAAUGUGUUUUCUCACUCAUAAUCCAAGCAACAUAUUUCAUUUCAAAGCAAGAGAGGACUUUAGACAGCAAUUCUAGCUCUU